Rhagoletis zephyria (snowberry fruit fly) is the source of this 1965-nucleotide long non-coding RNA. RefSeq lists it as uncharacterized. Lineage: Eukaryota; Metazoa; Arthropoda; Insecta; Diptera; Tephritidae. The record is from RefSeq and is a predicted model, not a curated record.
UGUAAAAGACAUACGUACAUAUGUAUAAAAUACGAAUAUUAUUUUAGAACACUUCGAGCAGUAGAUGAAUAAAUUUAUUAGUAUUAAAUGAAAAUGCAAAGUAUGCUUGUCGUCGUAGCAGCAGCCAACAUUAAAGUGGUCGCCAUAUCCCCUAUUCGUAGCAAUUACGUGCUCAUUCGCAGAGUAUAUCUGUGGUCAUAAACAAUAACCACCUAAGUCGAUUUAAGGAAGAAUUGAGUUAUAUAUGCUAUCGUAUUCUGCAACUACUAUUCCGCAUGUGAAAUCUCCAUCUCGCCAGCUGGGCUAUUUAAAAAGUUAUAGACGAACAUAUUUUGAUUUCCACAUAAGGUUAAUAUUACAAUCCAAACGUUUAAAACGUUUCUUCUCGAAUUCAGAUGCUUCGACUUAGGCGGUUAUUGCGUAUGACCACAAAUAUUUGUAUUAACGGCGGCUACUGCUUCAGUCCGGCACGUCUUGUUUCUUCUGGUCAGCAAAAUAGUAGCGACAGUGGCAGCAGCAACUGCACUGUGGCAGAAGCCGAGACAGUCGAUGUAACAACAGUCUGCGCAAAGUCUGCUAGCGAAGGUGAUGACUGUUGGUGGCGGGGGUGAAGAUGUCGAUUGGUUUUCAUUUUCCUACUUCUGGUAUUUCGUUUAACGCUGCACUCUAAAAUAUGUUCACUCUCUUUGUCCCAUGCUCGUUAGUUGUCAAAAUAUGCCGUUUCAAACUCUCACCUACGAGAGCGUGCUGGAAAUACUACAAAAAUAAGCAGUUGUAAUGGAAGAGGCAGAAAAAGUAUUCUAUCCAGGAGGUUGUCUGCAGCAGAAUUAUUAAGGCGCCAGAAGGUUCUACGACCAGUUAUAUAGGCGUUUGCCCAAUCAACCAAAGAUGUUAAUUUAAUUUUGGCAUCGCAUUUGCUGUUUAAAACCAUUCUAAUGCUUAAGUGAAGGUAAAAGAAAGUGAAAAAGUUAUUAAGAUAUCUAAAAUGAUAUCCUUGCCACUAGACCAUAUGGGAAAAUACUCUGUGAAUUCUUCAUUGAAAUAUUUAUAGAUUGUAUACGGCGAUGUUGCAGCCUAAUGCAAGAGAAAUGAUGUCCAUUAUAAAAUUAACUUUAAUAGAAAUAAAUCUAAGGUGUAUGUAGACAGAUUUAUGGAGGAUUAGUUGUUCAGUAAGUUAAGUUAAGGCGAUAGUAUUAGAAAAACUUCAAUCUUGUACCAUUUUUUUAUUUACGAUUUCGUUCAUUUAGAGCGUUAACUUUCGAAAUCUGAACUGAAUUCGAAUCUCGAACUGAGGUGCCAUACUGAAGCUAAAUAAGUUUCAAAUAGACAAAUAAAAAGUGCCGAAUAAGGUGUCAUUCUUUUUAAUGGAAAUAAUAUUUAUUUCCUUCUAAUUUAGCAACAAAAUAUGAGCCAUAUUUCUAGAAAAAAUUGCGAUACCAAAAUAAGAUACAACUUAAGGAACUAUAAAUCCUUAAUUACUAUUUUUCAAAAGUGUAACUUUGUUACCUUAUGUCAAAUUGUAAAAUAAGGCGACAUUCGAAGUAAAAUAGGACCAAAAAAACGGCAAGUUUUAAGUCAAGCUAGCAGACCGGCUAUCACAGUUCUCGCCAUCGAAAAGCUACGAAAUUUCCAUUAAAAAUUUGAAAAAAUUGCAUAUUAGUCAAUCAGUAAUUACUUGCUAAGUUAUUAAUAUGCACGAAAGUGUGCUGAAAACCUAAUUGUACUCGAAACAAAAUGCCUUCAUUUACAUUAUUUGGCUACUUUCCAAAUGAAAAAAAUAUGCCGCAGCUUCAACUGUGCUCCCGCCACAACGAAAAGAAGAAAAACCUCCACAUACAAUUUUUGGUUGAAUCCAAAUGGUUAUCUAAGCACUUGCACUUAAGCGCAAACGAACAUAUAUUUACUUAUAUGUGCAUAAACACGAAUUUGUAUUUUUUAUUUGGCACGAGGCAGUCUACAAUAUUU